This 354-nucleotide ribosomal RNA is filed under the name bacterium LimB-10-J-157. RNAcentral describes it as "bacterial SSU rRNA". It matches the Rfam family "Bacterial small subunit ribosomal RNA", at positions 289 to 635 of the family's 1533-position model. The record is from RNAcentral.
GACCUGAGAGGGUGAUCGGCCACACUGGAACUGAGACACGGUCCAGACUCCUACGGGAGGCAGCAGUAGGGAAUCUUCCGCAAUGGGCGAAAGCCUGACGGAGCAACGCCGCGUGAGUGAUGAAGGUCUUCGGAUCGUAAAACUCUGUUAUUAGGGAAGAACAAAUGUGUAAGUAACUGUGCACGUCUUGACGGUACCUAAUCAGAAAGCCACGGCUAACUACGUGCCAGCAGCCGCGGUAAUACGUAGGUGGCAAGCGUUAUCCGGAAUUAUUGGGCGUAAAGCGCGCGUAGGCGGUUUCUUAAGUCUGAUGUGAAAGCGCACGGCUCAACCGUGGAGGGUCAUUGGAAACUG